Molecule: ribosomal RNA, 321 nt
Filed under: uncultured eukaryote
Lineage: Eukaryota
Description: partial 18S ribosomal RNA
Rfam family: Eukaryotic small subunit ribosomal RNA
Source: RNAcentral
CCCUUAGAUGUUCUGGGCCGCACGCGCGCUACACUGAUGAACGCAACGAGACCACCUGUACUGAAAGGCAUGGGUAAACUUGUGAAAGUUCAUCGUGAUGGGGAUAGAUUAUUGCAAUUAUUAAUCUUCAACGAGGAAUUCCUAGUAAGCGCGAGUCAUCAGCUCGCGUUGAUUACGUCCCUGCCCUUUGUACACACCGCCCGUCGCUCCUACCGAUUGAAUGGUCCGGUGAAAUCUUCGGAUUGCCGGAUAGGACUUCAUUGACCUAUCUGCGAGAAGUUGCUUGAACCUUAUCAUUUAGAGGAAGGAGAAGUCGUANCA